This 500-nucleotide ribosomal RNA is filed under the name uncultured bacterium. Its description in RNAcentral is "partial 16S ribosomal RNA". It matches the Rfam family "Bacterial small subunit ribosomal RNA", at positions 30 to 523 of the family's 1533-position model. The record is from RNAcentral.
AUUGAACGCUGGCGGAAUGCUUUACACAUGCAAGUCGAACGGCAGCACGGACUUCGGUCUGGUGGCGAGUGGCGAACGGGUGAGUAAUGUAUCGGAACGUGCCCAGUCGUGGGGGAUAACGUAGUGAAAAUUACGCUAAUACCGCAUACGAUCUAUGGAUGAAAGCGGGGGAUCGCAAGACCUCGCGCGAUUGGAGCGGCCGAUAUCAGAUUAGGUAGUUGGGGGGGUAAAGGCCUACCAAGCCAACGAUCUGUAGCUGGUCUGAGAGGACGACCAGCCACACUGGAACUGAGACACGGUCCAGACUCCUACGGGAGGCAGCAGUGGGGAAUUUUGGACAAUGGGCGAAAGCCUGAUCCAGCCAUUCCGCGUGCAGGAUGAAGGCCCUCGGGUUGUAAACUGCUUUUGUACGGAACGAAAAGGUUUCUACUAAUACUAGGAGCUCAUGACGGUACUGUAAGAAUAAGCACCGGCUAACUACGUGCCAGCCGCCGCCGUAA